RNAcentral lists this ribosomal RNA (460 nucleotides) under uncultured bacterium. RNAcentral describes it as "partial 16S ribosomal RNA". It matches the Rfam family "Bacterial small subunit ribosomal RNA", at positions 338 to 795 of the family's 1533-position model. The record is from RNAcentral.
CCUACGGGUGGCAGCAGUGAGGAAUAUUGGUCAAUGGACGCAAGUCUGAACCAGCCAUGCCGCGUGCAGGAAGACGGCUCUAUGGGUUGUAAACUGCUUUUGUACGAGGAUAAACGCAGAUACGCGUAUCUGUCUGAAAGUAUCGUACGAAUAAGGAUCGGCUAACUCCGUGCCAGCAGCCGCGGUAAUACGGAGGAUUCAAGCGUUAUCCGGAUUUAUUGGGUUUAAAGGGUGCGUAGGCGGUCUGUUAAGUUAGAGGUGAAAUCCCGAGGCUCAACUUCGGAAUUGCCGGUGAUACGGUUAGGCUAGAGAGUAGUUGAGGUAGGCGGAAUGUAUGGUGUAGCGGUGAAAUGCUUAGAGAUCAUAAAGAACACCGAUUGCGAAGGCAGCUUACUAAGCUACUUCUGACGUUGAGGCACGAAAGUGUGGGGAGCAAACAGGAUUAGAUACCCGGGUAGUC